This 334-nucleotide ribosomal RNA is filed under the name uncultured eukaryote. RNAcentral describes it as "partial 18S ribosomal RNA". It matches the Rfam family "Eukaryotic small subunit ribosomal RNA", at positions 1470 to 1796 of the family's 1831-position model. The record is from RNAcentral.
CCCUUAGAUGUCCGGGGCCGCACGCGCGCUACACUGAAGGAAUCAGCGUGGCUUACUCCCUGACCCGAAAGGGUUGGGAAACCCGUUGAAUCUCCUUCGUGAUAGGGAUUGGGGCUUGAAAUUGUUCCCCAUGAACGAGGAAUUCCCAGUAAGCGCGAGUCAUAAGCUCGCGUUGAUUACGUCCCUGCCCUUUGUACACACCGCCCGUCGCUACUACCGAUUGAACGGUUUAGUGAGGGCCUCGGAUUGGUCUCGGCCCGCUCUUUACCGGGCGGCGCCGUUGGUCGAGAAGACGCUCGAACUUGAUCGUUUAGAGGAAGUAAAAGUCGUAACA